AUUGCUACUGGCGAACAAAGACAUACACAACAUCAAAAGUUAAGCUAAUUUAAAUUAGGUCAGAUGUUUCUGAAGCAGGCUGGGAUGAAAAAAAAAAGACUGGCAGCGUCUAAUAGCUACUUGGGGAGGCGGUUCCUGGUCAACUCUUCUAUCCCUGAAGCUGUCAUAGUCACUUUUUUAAAUUAAGGCGAUGGCCACUGUGGUUGUACAGGUUUGGCGGGGGCUGGCGCUGCUGAGUGAGACAGAACCUACGGUCAGUUACAUGGGCUGGCUGGCGGCCUCGGCUCAUGGAUAAAGGGGGGCCCUGCAAUCGGUUGUUUGUAAACCCAGGCUGAAUGUUGUCCAAUGUUGAGCCUUCUGAGGAUGAGUUGUGUGGGUCUGAUGAUGAGCUUGAGGUUGAUCUGUUGAGAGCAAGACAAAAAAAAAUGUUUCAUUGACAUAAAGAUUGUUUCAUUGACAUAAAGAUUGUUUCACUGACAUAAAGAUUGAUUAUUAACAUAAAGAUUAUUUCAUUAACAUGAAGAUUGUUUCAUUGACAAAAUUUCAUCAGUAGCUGAAUGAAACAAACUAAAGCGUUUCUUUUAGGAUUUCUAAUUUAAUUUAAUGAAAAAAAAGUAUUUCUGCUUAUUUCCCCUUAAUUCUACAAAAGUUCUGGUCAGAAAUGUCAACAAAGAAGAGGUGCAGCGAGUCGAGCGUGAGAAACGAGAGAAGGCAAAAGAAGAUCAAGAGAAGAAGAAGGAGAAGGACAAGCAGGACAGACAAGCCCAGAAACAGAAGCAACAGGAGAGAAAAGAAGCAGAGAAGAAGAGAACGUCCAAGGGAGAAAAGAGGAGAUAGCAUCUCCGGCGCUGGGUUUAGUUGUAUAAUACGAAAAAAAACUUACAUAAUUUAUUUAAACCAUUGUCCUUCAAGUGCGGUAACUUUGUGUCUUUUACAUCAAAAGAAUUUUUUUUUUUUUAGGGUGGAAGGUGUCGCUGGAGGAAGGGAAAGGGAGUUUUUUUUUUUUUAAGCAAUGGGUUUAACUCUUUUUUAUUGUUGUGUGCUUAUGGCCCGGCUUGAAAAAGAGAUACAAAAGGGUGUAUCGGCAGAAGUGUUCUGUGAAUGAGAUCUUUAUUUUUACUCAGUGGUGCUUUUUUUUUCUUGACUCCAAACGAGGAGCUUAUUAUUAUUAUUUUAGGGCAUCAUCAGCAUUCAUAAUAAGAACGAAUGAACUGAAUGACAAUUAUGAACGCUGGACACGUUAUACUUCUAUCGGUUUUAGCUGUAGUCAAAUAAACCAUUGUUCUAGAAAGUCAUACCGGCAACUUUUUCCUUUGGUUACAUUAACGAAAUUUUUAACUACUGGUACUUUUUUUUAAAUCUCCAUUUUUCUACGCUUUCUUCCUGUCUCUCAGUAUAUUCCCUCCGACCCUCUUUCUGCUGUCCACCCACCAUCCCACUAAUACAAGGCAUUAAUUUCUUGAGGAUAGUCAAAUGGGAUGUUUGGUCUUAUCUCUUGUUCCACAUCAGCUCGGGCUAAUAAAUUAUGUCCUGGCGAUGGUGAUGCAUCACCUUGUUAAAGGCAUGAGCUCAGUCGCCAGCACUUUAGUGUUUCUGAAAUGAAACAUUUUCCUCACUUAACGUUUGUAUCUGUGUCCUCAACAAGAUGCAAUGUCUUUCAUGUGUUUUCUCUGUUAAACAAACGUAGUCAAGCUGUGCCAGACCUGUAUUCAACCUUGGGUUACAGGGCAUUGAUGAGAAUUAUUACUGGUACUUUUUACUUCAUGUCUAAACACCAUCAAGGAGAACAGAUUAACAUGGUGAUUUUUUUGUUAUAGUUGCUAUGCAAAUUUAAAAAAUGUGAAUAUUUUUACCUGCAUUAUAAUAAAAUUAUUACUUUUUCUACUAAUUAAUUUUAUAAACCUAAUCAUCGUUCUCUAUUAAUUUAUUUUAUAAAUCCCUCUACUAGUUGAUCAUACACCGGUAACUUUCACUUUUGGUUAAUCUUAUGACUUUGUUAGUUAAUCCUACUCUUGAUCUUAUAAAGUAGUUAAUCCUACAAUGAUCUGUUCUCUCUUAUGUUAUUUUACCAGAUUAUUUGAUAGUGUUUUUUUUUUCCUUUACAUUCACUCUCGUAGUUCUGGAGAGUUCUCACUUGCGCUAGUCAGUUGUAGCCUAGUUGUCGCACUACUAGACCGUUAUCAUACGGAAGCACUUUAAUCACAUGGCUAGGGAUGAAUGGUUUCAAAGCAGUUAUAGAGGAGCGUGUGAGCCUGAUUUAUACAUGUGUUUUUUUAUGAAGCUUGAAAGUGCACUUUAAGAGUGUGCACACUUGAUGAAUGGUGUGAAAUAACAUGUCUGGAUGAUCUACUUGUGUUUUUUUUAAUUGUGCAUAAAACCCAAAAACCUAGACAGUUUUUAUUUUUUUAAAGUUUUGUAUAGAUUCAUUAAUUCAAAAGGAUGAAUAUUAAUUAUUAUAUACGGCUAAAAUAGUUGUUUGAUGUUUGUACUAUCAUCUACUUUGUAAUGUCUUGAAAACUUGGAAUCUUAUGUUACUAAUGAUAUUUUUACUAUGUGGUGUGCACUCAUCACAAUGUCUACAAUGUGAAUCUAGAUAUAGAUUGAUCAGAAUACUCUUAAAAGGUGACAAGCAUUCGCAUAAUUAUCUUAAUUAUGGUUUUAAAUGCCUGCUUAAAUCAUUCAUUGGAAUAAAAAAAAAAAUUAAUUAGUGAAACAGAUUUAUGAUAAAAACCUGUUUGCCUGACAUGUGACUGCUAUGGUGUUUGUUUUUUUUUAAUUCAAAUAAACAAUUUUGAAGUCACAA
This is a long non-coding RNA of Biomphalaria glabrata, 2803 nucleotides long. RefSeq lists it as uncharacterized. NCBI's taxonomy places the organism in Eukaryota, Metazoa, Mollusca, Gastropoda, Planorbidae. The record is from RefSeq and is a predicted model, not a curated record. The transcript is spliced from 2 exons.